ACGCUCGACACCUACGAGGCAGCAGUGGGGAAUAUUGCACAAUGGGGGAAACCCUGAUGCAGCGACGCCGCGUGAGCGAAGAAGUAUUUCGGUAUGUAAAGCUCUAUCAGCAGGAAAGAAGAAAGACGGUACCUGACUAAGAAGCCCCGGCUAACUACGUGCCAUCAGCCGCGGUAAUCUGAGCGGGCUGGCAAGGC
Molecule: ribosomal RNA, 197 nt
Filed under: uncultured bacterium
Lineage: Bacteria
Description: partial 16S ribosomal RNA
Rfam family: Bacterial small subunit ribosomal RNA
Source: RNAcentral